RNAcentral lists this ribosomal RNA (775 nucleotides) under uncultured Neocallimastigales. RNAcentral's name for it is "partial large subunit ribosomal RNA". It matches the Rfam family "Eukaryotic large subunit ribosomal RNA", at positions 23 to 616 of the family's 3401-position model. The record is from RNAcentral. Lineage: Eukaryota; Fungi; Neocallimastigomycota; Neocallimastigomycetes; Neocallimastigales.
AGAGAGAGACAUGCGCGCAUAUCAAUAAGCGGAGGAAAAGAAACUAACAAGGAUUCCCCUAGUAACGGCGAGUGAAGCGGGAAGAGCUCAAAUUUGAAAUCUUAAAGGGUUUCCCUUUACGAAUUGUAGUUUAAAGAAGUGUUUUCUGUUGAGGUUUUGGUAAAAGUCCUUUGGAAUAGGACAUCAUAGAGGGUGAGAAUCCCGUAUUUGACCUUUACUUUCAACUUUGUGAUACACUUUCAAAGAGUCGGAUUGUUUGGGAAUGCAGUCCAAAAUGGGUGGUAAAUUUCAUCUAAAGCUAAAUAUUGGCGAGAGACCGAUAGCGAACAAGUACCGUGAGGGAAAGAUGAAAAGAACUUUGAAAAGAGAGUUAAACAGUACGUGAAAUUGUCAAAAGGGAAGCGUUUGACACCAGUGUUGUUUUUCUGAAAAUCAAUUAAAGAACUGUUUAUGCUAAGUUGUUUAGACUUUAUCAGCUAACUGUUUAGUUUUGAGCUUUUCUUUAAUGCACUUUUCAGUUAACAAGUCAACAUCAAUUUCUUUUGCUGUAAAAAAGCUUGAGGGAAGGUGGCUUGAGAUUCGUCUUAAGUGUUUAUAGCCUCUUGCCUAUGCAGUCGGAGAGAUUGAGGUCUGCAGCGUAGAUCCUUCGGGGCUAAAUGCAUUUGUGCUAAGUUAUAGCAUUUUAUAGACAACUUGUUGACUAUGAUUUGUCUUGUAGCUUACUCGCUUAUGUUAUUUUACCUACGCUUAGGAUGUUGAGCGCAUGUCUCUCUCU